AGACGGGGGGGGCGAGCGUUGUUCGGAAUUACUGGGCGUAAAGGGCGCGCAGGCUGUUUCGUUAGUCAGGCGUGAAAUCCCCGGGCUUAACCCGGGAACUGCGUUUGAUACUGCGAAACUAGAGAUCGGGAGAGGGUAGUGGAAUUCCCAGUGUAGAGGUGAAAUUCGUAGAUAGUGGGAAGAACACCAGUGGCGAAGGCGGCUACCUGGACCGAUACUGACGCUGAGGCGCGAAAGCGUGGGGAGCAAACAGGAUUAGAAACCCCGGUAGUCC
RNAcentral lists this ribosomal RNA (274 nucleotides) under uncultured bacterium. Its description in RNAcentral is "partial 16S ribosomal RNA". It matches the Rfam family "Bacterial small subunit ribosomal RNA", at positions 523 to 796 of the family's 1533-position model. The record is from RNAcentral.